GUGUCCAACUAAUGCAGAGUAUAUUCAAGCUGUCAACACACUGAUGUGAAGAACCCUUUCCAGAGAAAUAGAGAAAGAAAUGACUGUGAAGCUUGUGUUGGGGAGGAUUCAGUGUCUGUUGAGGCACAUGUGAAUGUGCUAUAAAGUGAGUAUCAGAAACACAUCCAGACCCCUCGACGGUCAAAGACCACACGACAGGAACAUGCUCCUGGAGACGCUGAGAAAGUAUCUAUACUCAAAAAAUACACAUACUUCAGGACACCUGCUGGAGGGGACCCUGCUACACCUUUCCUACCAUACACCUGAUGGAUACUGACUGUAAAAUGGCAAUCAUAGUUCGAGGGCUCAGUGUGGUGACAGAAGAUGGAACAGAUGUGUGCCAGUGCACCAGCCUUGAUGAAGCUUCAUAACAGCCUUCUGUGUGUAUUCUGCUUUCAUCAUUGGAUAUCCACCACACCUGAG
Long non-coding RNA from Carassius carassius (crucian carp), 462 nucleotides. RefSeq lists it as uncharacterized. The transcript has 3 exons. NCBI's taxonomy places the organism in Eukaryota, Metazoa, Chordata, Actinopteri, Cypriniformes, Cyprinidae. The record is from RefSeq and is a predicted model, not a curated record.